This 230-nucleotide ribosomal RNA is filed under the name uncultured microorganism. Its description in RNAcentral is "partial 16S ribosomal RNA". It matches the Rfam family "Bacterial small subunit ribosomal RNA", at positions 524 to 753 of the family's 1533-position model. The record is from RNAcentral.
UACGAAGGGGGCUAGCGUUGUUCGGAAUUACUGGGCGUAAAGCGCACGUAGGCGGACUAUUAAGUCAGGGGUGAAAUCCCGGGGCUCAACCCCGGAACUGCCUUUGAUACUGGUAGUCUCGAGUCCGGAAGAGGUGAGUGGAAUUCCGAGUGUAGAGGUGAAAUUCGUAGAUAUUCGGAGGAACACCAGUGGCGAAGGCGGCUCACUGGUCCGGAACUGACGCUGAGGUG